Molecule: ribosomal RNA, 112 nt
Filed under: Massilibacterium senegalense
Lineage: Bacteria; Bacillati; Bacillota; Bacilli; Caryophanales; Bacillaceae
Source: RNAcentral
UGGUGAUAAUGGCAGAGAGGUCACACCCGUUCCCAUGCCGAACACGGAAGUUAAGCUCUUUUACGCCGAUGGUAGUGAGGGGUUUCCCCUUGUGAGAGUAGGACGUUGCCAG